This 1778-nucleotide unclassified non-coding RNA is filed under the name Hevea brasiliensis (rubber tree). The record is from RNAcentral. Lineage: Eukaryota; Viridiplantae; Streptophyta; Magnoliopsida; Malpighiales; Euphorbiaceae.
CAAGCAACAAAAUGAAACCGAACACGCAACUCUUCAAUACGCAAACUAUUAACAAGAGUUUCCAUUAAAAACACAACCAAUGGCUUAUUAGUAUUUACAAGCUCUUAAAGAGCUGAAACUGCUCAAUGGUUGCCAAACCCUUGUAGUUCCAACUUAGGAUUUUCAUAGCUCCCGGCAGGCUUGGAGGCCAGGACCGGCCGAUAUGAGAUUUUCAAGAUGCGUCUGUUUGGAUGAAGUGAGGGAAGGAUAAAUAAUGAAAGGAUAAGAAAGGGUAAGGAAGGGGAAGGGGAAGGGUAAGGAGGGUUACAAUAAAAAAAAUCUCAUGUCUGGGAAGGAGUGAAUUAAUGGAAAGGUAAGGAGAGGUAGUGUAUAUUCUUUAUACUUGAGAAGAGGUGAAAAAUAGAUAAAAUUAAGGGGUGUAGAAAUAGAAAUAUUCGUAACUAUACUUUCUCCCUCUUUACCCCACCCUUACACCCCAAUAAAAAUUAAGAUUUGAGGGGUAAAGGAAGGUAAAGUUUACCUUAUUUACCUUUACAUCCCAUUAACUCACCUCUUUCCAAACAAAGGUAAAAUAAUUAAUUAUCCCUCCUUACCCUUUAUUUAUCCCUCUCUCACCCUCAUCCCAACNNNNNNCAAAGCUUGAUCCCCGGAAGAAGAAGCACCCCCUUCUGAAAAGGAAGAAGAUGGGGCCAGCCUUGGUCUCUUUUUAUCAUCCUCCACUUCUAAACUGAAUCCUGAGAUGCAUCCUUCGUUGGCCCAACAUCAUAGCUGAAAGGCCCAACAUCAGUUUGCAUAGGUUGACCGUGGGGCCCAUGGGGAAAAUUCAUUUGGAAACCUGACGGUUGUCAGCAUCAUUAGUGCGCACAAGAUUGCAUUGCAGAAAGGUUGGGCAAUCAUAUUGGGACUAGGAGGAAGAAAACAAGGGACAAGUGAAAUCAGAAUUCCAACGCCUGAACUGUCCCUCAACCAACGCUCGCCAGCCACCUGAGAGGCUUGUCUAGCCGCAGGUCGCAGCCAAGGACAGGAACACCUUCGGAAGUCUCAGAAAGGUUCCCACAAAACUAAUUCAAAUGGCCCAAACAAACGCAUAGAAAGCAAAAUGUCCGUAACUUUUCGUACUUAAAAGAAACAACUAGCUAAGAAUCAGAUUGCUCAUGAAUGUGUUUCCAUUGCUUCAACAGCAAGCGAAUGUCCAAAAGGACCCGAAUCCGCAUAAAUCCUCUCCAACCCCAAGGAACUACCAAAGGGGUCAUGCCAAAAACUUACCCAAGAAAUUUCCUAAUUGCUGAGCAACAUAGUCUACAAGAAACUAGUAGGCAAAUCAUGAACCAGGACCUAAAAGGCCACACAUGAGAGAUCAAGUUAGGUAGGCGUUUUGCCCCGCUGCAGGUGGUGCAAAACAAGCAGGUGCUUAUUGAAAGACCAAGGUCCUUCAUCAAGAACUCGAUUGGGAUCCACAACUUGGAAAAACUGGAAAGAGCAUAACUGAGGGCCAAUUUCCUUAAUACAAACACCUUUACCAGGCCUCCAGAGAGUAGCCAUAGUGGAACGCAUAGCAUUAAAAUUGAUAGAACAAUCGGUGAGAAAACGACGAAUCAAACAGAAAUCCAAAUUAUCUUCCUCUGAUCCAGACAAGUCACUCGCACAGACCAGUUCUUCCUUCCCAUCGGCAGUGAGAGAAAGGGAAUGCAUAGGAAUAUCCAUGGAACAAUGCAAAAACGGAACUUGGCACGCGAGCAAGAAAGAGAACUUGCCACGCGGGCAAGGGCAGUUAUUUG